CUGGCGGAGAAGGAGGGAUUUGAACCCUCGCGCCGCGCGAGCGACCUACACCCUUAGCAGGGGCGCCUCUUCAGCCACUUGAGUACUUCCCC
Molecule: transfer RNA, 92 nt
Filed under: Listeria monocytogenes M7
Lineage: Bacteria; Bacillati; Bacillota; Bacilli; Caryophanales; Listeriaceae
Description: tRNA-Ser
Source: RNAcentral